RNAcentral lists this unclassified non-coding RNA (238 nucleotides) under Hevea brasiliensis (rubber tree). Lineage: Eukaryota; Viridiplantae; Streptophyta; Magnoliopsida; Malpighiales; Euphorbiaceae. The record is from RNAcentral.
GGACAAAAUUUCUUCCCUUAAGUCAGACACAGUAUGUCUUCGCCUUAGUAAGCCCAGUUCACUCGCUGCAUUUGAAGCAGUUCUUUCAUCAUUGGUCAAGCUAUCAUUUCGCAAAAACCUUCCCCGGAGUAAUGACUGAAUCCUAUUGCGAUAGGCAAAGUCUGAUACAGGCUUACACUCCAACAAUCCCUGAAGUUCCUUUUCCCUUUCCCUUUGAGAUCUCAUCAGUAAAUCAACA